RNAcentral lists this ribosomal RNA (501 nucleotides) under uncultured bacterium. Its description in RNAcentral is "bacterial SSU rRNA". It matches the Rfam family "Bacterial small subunit ribosomal RNA", at positions 8 to 507 of the family's 1533-position model. The record is from RNAcentral.
AGAGUUUGAUCCUGGCUCAGAAUAAACGCUGGCGGCGUGCCUAACACAUGCAAGUCGAGCGAGAAAGUUCCUUCGGGAGCAAGUAAAGCGGCGGACGGGUGAGUAACGCGUGAGAAUUUACCCUUUAGUGAGGAAUACCUCUGAGAAAUCAGGGCUAAUACUGCAUAAGUCCCUACGGGGAGAAAGGUGGCCUAUUUGCUGCCGCUAAAGGAUAAGCUUGCGGGCUAUUAGCUAGUUGGUGAGGUAAAGGCUCACCAAGGCGAUGAUGGCUAGCCGGCCUGAGAGGGUGUACGGCCACACUGGAACUUAGACACGGUCCAGACUCCUACGGGAGGCAGCAGUGAGGAAUAUUGCGCAAUGGGCGAAAGCCUGACGCAGCGACGCCGCGUGGAGGAUGAAGGUCUUCGGAUUGUAAACUUCUGUUAAGUGGGAAGGAAGAUUUAUCCCUAAUAUGGAUAAAGGAUGACGGUACCAUUAGAGAAAGCACCGGCUAACUUCGUG